RNAcentral lists this ribosomal RNA (596 nucleotides) under uncultured bacterium. RNAcentral's name for it is "bacterial SSU rRNA". It matches the Rfam family "Bacterial small subunit ribosomal RNA", at positions 338 to 956 of the family's 1533-position model. The record is from RNAcentral.
CCUACGGGAGGCAGCAGUGGGGAAUCUUGCGCAAUGGGCGAAAGCCUGACGCAGCCAUGCCGCGUGAAUGAUGAAGGUCUUAGGAUUGUAAAAUUCUUUCACCGGGGACGAUAAUGACGGUACCCGGAGAAGAAGCCCCGGCUAACUUCGUGCCAGCAGCCGCGGUAAUACGAAGGGGGCUAGCGUUGCUCGGAAUUACUGGGCGUAAAGGGAGCGUAGGCGGAUAGUUUAGUCAGAGGUGAAAGCCCAGGGCUCAACCUUGGAAUUGCCUUUGAUACUGGCUAUCUUGAGUAUGGGAGAGGUUAGCGGAACUCCGAGUGUAGAGGUGAAAUUCGUAGAUAUUCGGAAGAACACCAGUGGCGAAGGCGGCUAACUGGCCCAUUACUGACGCUGAGGCUCGAAAGCGUGGGGAGCAAACAGGAUUAGAUACCCUGGUAGUCCACGCCGUAAACGAUGAGUGCUAGUUGUCGGCAUGCAUGCAUGUCGGUGACGCAGCUAACGCAUUAAGCACUCCGCCUGGGGAGUACGGUCGCAAGAUUAAAACUCAAAAGAGAAGUGACGCGUGAGAGCGACGACGACGACGACGGAGGGAGGAG